Molecule: ribosomal RNA, 468 nt
Filed under: uncultured bacterium
Lineage: Bacteria
Description: partial 16S ribosomal RNA
Rfam family: Bacterial small subunit ribosomal RNA
Source: RNAcentral
GACGAACGCUGGCGGCGUGCUUAACACAUGCAAGUCGAACGGAAAGGCCCUGCUUUUGUGGGGUGCUCGAGUGGCGAACGGGUGUGUAACACGUGAGUAACCUGCCCUUGACUUUGGGAUAACUUCAGGAAACUGGGGCUAAUACCGGCUAGGAGCUCCUGCUGGAUGGGGGGGGUUGGAAAGCUUCGGCGGUUGGGGAUGGACUGGCGGCUUAUCAGCUUGUUGGUGGGGUAGUGGCUUACCAAGGCUUUGGCGGGUAGCCGGCCUGAGAGGGUGACCGGCCACAUGGGGACUGAGAUACGGCCCAGACGCCUACGGGAGGCAGCAGUGGGGAAUAUUGCACAAUGGGCGGAAGCCUGAUGCAGCAACGCCGCGUGCGGGAUGACGGCCUUCGGGUUGUAAACCGCUUUCGCCUGUGACGAAGCGUGAGUGACGGUAAUGGGUAAAGAAGCACCGGCUAACUACGUG